This 253-nucleotide ribosomal RNA is filed under the name uncultured bacterium. RNAcentral's name for it is "partial 16S ribosomal RNA". It matches the Rfam family "Bacterial small subunit ribosomal RNA", at positions 524 to 776 of the family's 1533-position model. The record is from RNAcentral.
UACGUAGGCAGCAAGCGUUGUUCGGAGUUACUGGGCGUAAAGGGUGUGUAGGCGGUUCUUUAAGUUUGGUGUGAAAUCUCCCGGCUCAACUGGGAGGUGCGCCGAAUACUGAGGGACUAGAGUACGGGAGAGGAAAGUGGAAUUCCUGGUGUAGCGGUGAAAUGCGUAGAUAUCAGGAGGAACACCGGUGGUGUAGACGGCUUUCUGGACCGUAACUGACGCUGAGAACACGAAAGCGUGGGUAGCAAACAGG